CUUAUAGAGAAAGGCCGAGGGAUUAGACCCGGUGAAGCCUUAGCAACCUGUCUCUGGACAAGGUGCUACAUUCUACCUUGAAUAGGAAAGAUAAG
Molecule: non-coding RNA, 95 nt
Filed under: uncultured Sphingobacterium sp.
Lineage: Bacteria; Pseudomonadati; Bacteroidota; Sphingobacteriia; Sphingobacteriales; Sphingobacteriaceae
Description: SAM riboswitch (S box leader)
Rfam family: SAM riboswitch aptamer (S box leader)
About the family: The SAM riboswitch is found upstream of a number of genes which code for proteins involved in methionine or cysteine biosynthesis in Gram-positive bacteria. The SAM riboswitch acts at the level of transcription termination control.
Source: RNAcentral